UGUCCUCCAUAGGAGGUCUAUAUUGAGCAGAUUCUUUUUGGUAUUGGGUGGUGGAACCGGAGCGUGCUCCAUCCACUCCAUGCAUUGACCCGGUAUUGCAGUGCUUCCAGGACCGGUGC
This 119-nucleotide small nuclear RNA is filed under the name Crocodylus porosus (Australian saltwater crocodile). RNAcentral's name for it is "U2 spliceosomal RNA (ENSCPRG00005015573.1)". It matches the Rfam family "U2 spliceosomal RNA", at positions 67 to 185 of the family's 192-position model. From Rfam's summary of the family: U2 is a small nuclear RNA (snRNA) component of the spliceosome (involved in pre-mRNA splicing). Complementary binding between U2 snRNA (in an area lying towards the 5' end but 3' to hairpin I) and the branchpoint sequence (BPS) of the intron results the bulging out of an unpaired adenosine, on the BPS, which initiates a nucleophilic attack at the intronic 5' splice site, thus starting the first of two transesterification reactions that mediate splicing. The record is from RNAcentral. Lineage: Eukaryota; Metazoa; Chordata; Crocodylia; Crocodylidae.